GUCCAAAGUACCAAAAGCUCUCCACGCACCAGCAGCCCCCGGAGUCUACUUCAGCAGCAACCCUGGGUUUUGUUUCCACACGGUGUCCAGAAGUUUGCUUCCGGAGGUUAGAUAUGACUGUAGGUGCCUGCCUGAGUACCGGCCUCCUCGAGAACAGGUAUCGCCGGGUCUCAGACCCGCCCGCCGCCCGGCAAAGAAGCCACAGCGACAUCGAGAAGGCCGCCCGCCCCGGCUAACUUCCGCCCUUCCCCCCACCCCCGCCGGCUCGUGAGGUAUCUCUAAGGGUACGGCUCGGGAUUUCUCGGCGCUCUCCUGACCAAACCCCCAAGGAAAAUCAGCUUCUCGAUUACCUCCACCCAGCUCUGGCUUCCGUGGACGCCAAUUCCCUCUUCCUGGGCUCGGCUAUCAAGUCACCACACCUCACGCCGUCGCGGGGAGGCAGGCAGGUGCGGGUUCCCGCGCCCCCGGGGGCGGUGCCGGGAAGGCGCGAGGCCCCGGGCGCGCGCGCGCGGACCUUGCGAGUUCAGUCUCCGGCGUGACCCCUCUAGCGCCUCGAGACCCUACCCCGGCUCGCCAUUCUGGGGUCUCGUGCUGUGGGCCGGGCGCCCACCGGAAACGAAAGGACGGCUUCCG
This 633-nucleotide long non-coding RNA is filed under the name Bos indicus x Bos taurus (hybrid cattle). Its description in RNAcentral is "lncRNA (ENSBIXG00005018831.1)". Lineage: Eukaryota; Metazoa; Chordata; Mammalia; Artiodactyla; Bovidae. The record is from RNAcentral.